CUUUAGUAAAAGUCUGCAAGCAAAGAAAAGAAUAACUCCCUUUUUGGGUAUAUACAAAAAAAAAAAAAAACCACUCCUGACCUAGUGACCCCCAACAGCUAACCCUGGUUGCCUUUUUUGGCGCAAUGCAGGCCCCGCUUGGCACAUUUCCUGCCAACUUGACUACCUCCUUUGCUCACGUGGUGCGGGGCAGGAAAAGAAGCGGCAGCUGAAGACGGAGCCCUCCCAACGAUCCGAUCGACUCGAACCUUCCUCACUGGAACCAAACCAGAGGCUGCGGGAUGUCGUUCGAUAAAGACAUUCGAGACAUCAUGAAGAUGAUGGGAAUGAGCAGCAGGAUGACCCCGGUGAAAGACGUUUACGAGGCCAGAAACACCGACCUGCUCAGUGUGGUGAGAAUCAAGAAGAAAACGUGGAAGAGCUUCUUCGGGAAAAUGUGGGCCUCCAACAUGAAGGAGGAUUACAGUGUCACGCAGUAUAAGCUGAAAGCACUUCUGCAGGACGGGGAUGCGGUUGACUUCGGCAGUGUAGCACACGAUGAUUUUGUCGAAAUCUCCCACGAGACUAAUCUCAGCGUUGAUUUGGAUGUCGGCGGCACGAUGUCGAAUGGCAUCGUGGAUGCGGGGGUGCAGAUUGGGGUGGACGUAAAGCGCUCAACAUCAAAUUUCAAACUGCAGCUGAAGUCCCAAAAGCUGCAUGAAAUUUUUGAUGGACUCGAGAGCAGGGGAAAGAAUGAGAAGCUAAUUCAGAGGCUGAGGGGUAGUUCCAGUGUGAGUCUGGGCUUUGUUUAUGAGGUCCUCAGAUCUCCUGGACCUCUCAGCCUUCACGCCAGUAUCAGGGGGGAAGGUAGCCUGCGGCUGAAACUCGCACACGUCUCCAAGGUGGAGGCCUCUGCCAGUGAAAUGGUGGACCAGAAGGUGACGUUGCCUUGCAACUCCACGGUGGCCUUCGCGGUGUUUCCACUUGACUUUGCAGAUUCCCGGAGCGGAACAGAAGAGAGAAGCCUCGUUUUGGGCUCCGAUGGUUAUGCUGACUGGGAGCUAACUGGCAACUUCAAGGUCACACAGGAGAAGUUGGAAGCAGAGUUCAGGGUCUUUGGAGAUUUGAGUGCUCCUGUGAAGAAGCAUGUCGGAGAGCUCAUGUUAAGGAUACUGUCUGGUCCUCAGACCCUGCAUCCUCUGGACUGGAUGCUGGAGGAAGGCUGUGUAGAUGAAGACAAUCUCAGCAGGGUGACAGAGGAGCUCCAGCCCACCGUCAAGGAGCUCAUGGCUGUCAUCGGACUUUUCCCUGCUGGGUCUGCAAAGGCCAAUGACCUCCUCAGACCUCUCAGUCUGCUGGUCGGUGCUUUGGCAGACCUGGAUGAGGAGGCUGUGGCCAUGAUCGGGGCUCUCGAGCCCAACGUCUUACAAGAGCUGUUUCGCCUGAUUGAGGGCGUGAUGGAGAAGGCGUGCAGUGGGGAAGCGGCAGCCCCGUCGCAGUGGAGGAACCAGUACUCCGAUGGCACGUGCAGGGUGGCUGAGGAGGUGCUGAAGGCAUCUGAGGUGGUUCUGGACAAGGACCAGCUGGACCCCAAAGGGGAAGAAAAUUACUCUUGAAGAGAAACUCAAGAUAAAUGCCCAGUGUGGAGGAAACAAGCCCGUAAUGGCCAUCGCACGUGAACUUGGACUUGUGCAAUCGACGAUCUUGAUCAUCUUAAAGGAUAAGAAGCGAUUAUGUUUGGUAGGUUAGGUCUAUUAAAUGCAUUUUCGACUUGCGUUACGUUCCGAUAAACCCAUCGCGUCAUAAGUCGGGGACCGUCUGUAUAACCAAAGACUUGAAAAUCACUUUUGAAAAUAGACUCUAAAUCCUCUUGUGUUUGACCGUCUACGACUAUUUUAAUAGCCUGGAAUCACAAAUUUCUUGGUUUUUGUCUCUGUCCACCUUUUCCAUGUAGUAAUGGUCACGCUUCCUGUCCACAUUUGUCAGCGUUUUCCAUUUUUAUUCUGUGCUUCAUAAUUUUGCACUUUGUUUAUAUUGUUCUCCCUCUAGUUGUUUAUGAUUUUUUUUUUUUUUUUUUUCCUGUUCCCCCUGUUGAUUAAAGCAGCUGUAUGGUACAUUUUUAUGUAAAUACAGUCAGUGUCAUAUUCUUUCGGUUAACUGCUCCUUGUCCCAAACCUGUCCCGACCCAAACACUGCUUCUCACCUUGGUGCACUGAAGACGGAAUUCCGCCUUUAUAGCAUUUUUAAUUUGCUAUAAUAUAAUUUAACAAUAAUCUUUAUAGUUAUGUUCAGUUUGUGGUGUAUUUGUUUGGGGGGGAAAAAAAUAAUCCAGUAGUAUAUUAGGUGAGUUAUAUGUACAAUAGGGGUCACCUUUGUCCCUGAACUCCUCCAUUCACACUCCUUGUGUAAAUAUUUAAUCCUUUUUUACAGAGGGUUUGUGAUACUGCCUUUUAUCUUCUUGUUUUAAAAAAAAAAAAAAAAAAAAAAAUUUGAAAUUCCGCUUCUGUCUUUGUUACUGUUGAUCUUAUAAUUUUGGAAAAAAUUCAAAACCAUUUAAUCAGACUGGAAAAUUGUAUCCUUUGAGCUGUUAUGGUUAUGGCUGAAAUGACUUUGCAG
RNAcentral lists this long non-coding RNA (2595 nucleotides) under Scleropages formosus (Asian bonytongue). RNAcentral's name for it is "lncRNA (ENSSFOG00015032048.1)". The record is from RNAcentral. Lineage: Eukaryota; Metazoa; Chordata; Actinopteri; Osteoglossiformes; Osteoglossidae.